GCAAAGUCCGUGCCAGCGGCUGCUGUGAUACGGAGGGUGCAAGCGUUAAUCGGAAUUACUGGGCAUAAAGCGCACGCAGGCGGUCGGUCAAGUCGGAUGUGAAAUCCCCGUGCUCAACCUGGGAACUGCAUUCGAAACUGGCAGGCUAGAGUCUUGUAGAGGGGGGUAGAAUUACAGGUGUAGCGGUGAAAUGCGUAGAGAUCUGGAGGAAUACCGGUGGCGAAGGCGGCCCCCUGGACAAAGACUGACGCUCAGGUGCGAAAGCGUGGGGAGCAAACAGGAUUAGAUACCCUAGUAGUC
Molecule: ribosomal RNA, 300 nt
Filed under: uncultured Spiroplasma sp.
Lineage: Bacteria; Bacillati; Mycoplasmatota; Mollicutes; Entomoplasmatales; Spiroplasmataceae
Description: bacterial SSU rRNA
Rfam family: Bacterial small subunit ribosomal RNA
Source: RNAcentral